This 270-nucleotide ribosomal RNA is filed under the name uncultured archaeon. RNAcentral describes it as "partial 16S ribosomal RNA". It matches the Rfam family "Archaeal small subunit ribosomal RNA", at positions 477 to 747 of the family's 1478-position model. The record is from RNAcentral.
CAGCACCUCAAGUGGUCAGGAUGAUUAUUGGGCCUAAAGCAUCCGUAGCCGGCGCUGUAAGUUUUCGGUUAAAUCUGUACGCUCAACGUACAGGCUGCCGGGAAUACUGCAGCGCUAGGGAGUGGGAGAGGUAGACGGUACUCGGUAGGAAGGGGUAAAAUCCUUUGAUCUAUUGAUGACCACCUGUGGCGAAGGCGGUCUACCAGAACACGUCCGGCGGUGAGGGAUGAAAGCUGGGGGAGCAAACCGGAUUAGAGACCCGUGUAGUCC